Molecule: non-coding RNA, 73 nt
Organism: Trichonephila clavipes
Lineage: Eukaryota; Metazoa; Arthropoda; Arachnida; Araneae; Nephilidae
Source: the annotation of a GenBank genome assembly
GUCCCAGUAGUGCAAUGCAGAGCCCAUUGGACUUCUAUUCCAAAGGUCGUGGAUUCAAAUCCCACCUAGGAUG